This 767-nucleotide ribosomal RNA is filed under the name uncultured Actinomyces sp. RNAcentral's name for it is "bacterial SSU rRNA". It matches the Rfam family "Bacterial small subunit ribosomal RNA", at positions 28 to 776 of the family's 1533-position model. Lineage: Bacteria; Bacillati; Actinomycetota; Actinomycetes; Actinomycetales; Actinomycetaceae. The record is from RNAcentral.
GACGAACGCUGGCGGCGUGCUUUACACAUGCAAGUCGAACGGGCGCGCUCUUUUUUGGGGGGCGUGUUGAGUGGCGAACAGGUGAGUAUCACGUGAGCAACCUGCCCUCCUCUCGUGGAUACGCGCUAGAAAGGGCGGCUAAUACGGGGUGUUCCGGUUGGUCCGCAUGGGCUGGUCGGGAAAGGUUCAUCGUUGUGGUGUUUCGGUGGGGGAUGGGCUCGCGGCCUAUCAGCUUGUUGGCGGGGUGAUGGCCCACCAAGGCGGUGACGUGUAGCCGGCCUGAGAGGGUGGGCGGCCACACUGGGACUGAGACACGGCCCAGACUCCUGCGGGAGGCAGCAGUGGGGGGUAUUGCACAAUGGGCGGAAGCCUGAUGCAGCGAUGUCGCGUGAGGGAUGGAGGCCUUCGGGUUGUGAACCUCUUUCUCCGGUGGUGAAGGCCCCGCCCUUCGUGGUGGUGUCGACGGUAGCCGGGUAUGAAGCGCCGGCUAACUAUGUCCCAGCAGCCGCGGUAAUAUGUAGGGCGCGAGCGUUGUCCGGAAUUAUUGGGCGUAAAGGGCUUGUAGGCGGCCGGCCGUGUCCGUCGUGAAAUCCUUCGGCUCAACCGGGGGCUUGCGGUGGGUACGUGUCGGCUGGAGUGCGGUAGGGGAGGCUGGAACUCCUGGUGUAGCGGUGGAAUGCGCAGAUAUCUGGAGGAACACCGAUGGCGAAGGCAGGCCACUGGGCCGUCACUGACGCUGAGGAGCGAAAGCGUGGGGAGCGAACAGG